This 75-nucleotide transfer RNA is filed under the name Pseudomonadota bacterium. RNAcentral describes it as "tRNA-Thr". It matches the Rfam family "tRNA". Rfam says of the family: Transfer RNA (tRNA) molecules are approximately 80 nucleotides in length. Their secondary structure includes four short double-helical elements and three loops (D, anti-codon, and T loops). Further hydrogen bonds mediate the characteristic L-shaped molecular structure. tRNAs have two regions of fundamental functional importance: the anti-codon, which is responsible for specific mRNA codon recognition, and the 3' end, to which the tRNAs corresponding amino acid is attached (by aminoacyl-tRNA synthetases). tRNAs cope with the degeneracy of the genetic code in two manners: having more than one tRNA (with a specific anti-codon) for a particular amino acid; and 'wobble' base-pairing, i.e. permitting non-standard base-pairing at the 3rd anti-codon position. RNAcentral also lists the same sequence under 1 other name. Lineage: Bacteria; Pseudomonadati; Pseudomonadota. The record is from RNAcentral.
GCCACCUUAGCUCAACGGUAGAGCACCGCUUUCGUAAAGCGGGGGUUUGGGGUUCAAAUCCCCAAGGUGGCUCCA